CGCUUCCUCUUUCCCUCCGCUCUGCCCAUGAUCUUCUCCUGUCCGCUGCUCGCACCUGUACGGCCAACUCUCGCCUGCACGACUUCUCGCGGGCAGCUCCCUUUCUAUGGAAUAGCCUGCCUACCACCAUCAGACUCUCCCCUAGUCUUCAAUCAUUUAAGAAGUGCCUUAAGACCCAUCUCUUUAGGAAAGAGUUUGGCCUCCCAGACUAACCUCUACCUCACAUACCUGUCUCUUGCUCUCUCCUAAAGGGCAGCACUCUACUCUCUCCUCCAGCCCUGCUUCACUCCCACCUUAUUUGAUUGCUAUUUCCUGUCCUAAUGUGUUUUACUCCCCACCUACUAUAGACUGUAAGCUCGUUUGAGCAGGACCCUCUUCAACCUAUUGUUCCUGUAAGUUUUCCUGUAAUUUCCUAUUAAUAACAUUGUAAAGCACUACAGAAUCUGUUGACGCAAUUUAAAUGGUGAGAAUAAUAAUAAUAAGUCUGGCAGAAUCAUUCAAUAUGGACUCUAAUUGAGCAAUCUGGG
Pelobates cultripes (western spadefoot toad) is the source of this 527-nucleotide non-coding RNA. The record is from the annotation of a GenBank genome assembly. NCBI's taxonomy places the organism in Eukaryota, Metazoa, Chordata, Amphibia, Anura, Pelobatidae.